CAGCUGCAAAAUGCAAAGACAAACAGAAGACCAGAACAUCAAUAACAAAAUUCUUCCGAUUAGAAUAUUCAAAACUCCUGUUGGAAACAAGAGCUAAAAUCAGAGCAGGUCUUUCAAGCAUGAAAAUUUGAAGCAAAUAUUAUGCUACAUACAUAUAGUUGCUCAAUCUGCACCAUUAAAAACAAUUAGGCCAUUGACUGAUGUUUAUAUUGUAUAAUAAGUGUAGGCAGUUCUAAAAUGAGGCUUUUGUAGUGAAGUACAUGUGGAAACAAAAAUUUAGCAAACACAAGAAGAAAUUGUAAUAUAGAUGCAUGAGCAGUAAAUAACAGGAAAGGAGCAUGGAGCUAAUUAAACAUGAGAGAAGUUUACAAGCUACAAAAGGCUUGGAAUGCAUUAAUAGAAUGCCACAUGCAGAAAUGCAAAUUUUGCGUUAAUUUGGCCCCUUGAGCUUGAUACAGGGUAGAUAAACUACAGGAAUUUGUACAGAUGAGGCCUCUUAAAUGCUCAGAUAUUUUCCUACCAUACCAUAUAAAAACGUACUUUAACUGCGCCAGCUGCUCAGAUAUAACUUCCACCCUGCUUAAAAGGCUGAAAUAAAGAGAGAUGAUCGUCCUAAAUGCCACAGAUUGGUUAAGCCAUACGAUAUAUUCAACAACUCAAAGAACAUACAAUCUAUGAGAUAUUGCAAUGAGUGCACAUAAAUCACAGGUCAACACACAUGGAAGGCCAGACAUGCAUAUCAUGAUAAGCUCCAAGUAGCAUGUGCUAUGAAGGCUCAACCAAUAAUAUAAAACAAGAACAUCCAGAAGAUAGAUGGUCUGCAGGAAUCAUGAAUGGAAAUAAAAAACACUAUUCCACUACAAUUAGAGCUAACUGCCAUAGUUUCAUACUACAAAAGUUUUCAGAUCUUGUGAAGUUAGCAAACAUGCAACAGUAAUUUAUAUUCAUUUUACUCCUGUAAUAUCUAGCACAGGAAUCAUUAUUGAUACUAGCUUGAGACUCUUAAGAGCAUAUGAGGGUUGAUGGAUCCAUCAGUGGAUGUACAAAGUAAGUAUCCUUCAAAAAUCUGCAGCAAAGAGUAUUAGUAAACAUGACCCCCAGCUUGGUGCUAUUUAGUUGGGGGGGCGCAUUCAAAUAUUUCUGGAAGCUGAAGGUAUGUUUAAAGAGCGAUGAAAUUUUUCUCACAUUAAUUUCCAAAAAAUAUACUUUCAAAUCCAGGAACGAUUUAAUCACCAUCCUGUAGGCCUGCAGAGGAAUUGGUCGAUGGCCUCACUGGAUGAUAAUUUAUGCUGGAAAACUAAUGUCAGUUGUUCAUAAGUUGACAGCAUCCCGAAUAAUUAGAGAAAUGCUAAACCUAGCAUAAAGCUUAUCAAUUUUAAACUCCAUACCUCUGAAAAAUUCAGGCACAGAGCUAUAAUCGCAUAUAAAGAUAUCCAUAAAGGAUAUAAUAUAAUCACAACACCUGCAAAACUAUAAUGAUUUUGCAAUAAUCGAUGUUUGAACCAUAUGUUAGAGGAGAUCAGUUUAAAUAUGGGGUGGUGAGUUGUGUUACUGUACUGGAGAUGCAUUAAGCGUGGAUCUCAUGAUGUGCAGCAGUUUUAUAAACUUACAAUAUAUAAAAUAUGGAGGGCUUGGGCAAUGAGAAAGUUCUUAUGCAUCAAGACUCCUGACCAUGAAAAAAUGCAAUUUUAUGAUGU
Populus euphratica (Euphrates poplar) is the source of this 1697-nucleotide long non-coding RNA. RefSeq lists it as uncharacterized. Lineage: Eukaryota; Viridiplantae; Streptophyta; Magnoliopsida; Malpighiales; Salicaceae. The transcript has 2 exons. The record is from RefSeq and is a predicted model, not a curated record.